UCACUCUUGUUUUUCUUCAGAUCGUAUAAAUCUUUCGCCUUUUACUAAAGAUUUCCGUGGAGAGGAACGUUAUGAGUUUCAAUUAAUUUUUGGAUGCCCUGUGUUUAACGGGGCU
Myripristis murdjan (pinecone soldierfish) is the source of this 115-nucleotide small nuclear RNA. Its record names the gene U5. It matches the Rfam family "U5 spliceosomal RNA". Rfam says of the family: U5 RNA is a component of both types of known spliceosome. The precise function of this molecule is unknown, though it is known that the 5' loop is required for splice site selection and p220 binding, and that both the 3' stem-loop and the Sm site are important for Sm protein binding and cap methylation. Lineage: Eukaryota; Metazoa; Chordata; Actinopteri; Holocentriformes; Holocentridae. The record is from Ensembl.